Camelus dromedarius (Arabian camel) is the source of this 199-nucleotide long non-coding RNA. RefSeq lists it as uncharacterized. NCBI's taxonomy places the organism in Eukaryota, Metazoa, Chordata, Mammalia, Artiodactyla, Camelidae. The record is from RefSeq and is a predicted model, not a curated record. The transcript is spliced from 3 exons.
GAAAACAGUGUCUUUGAGAGCAGGAUCUUCCUUGAAAACAGAAUGUGAUUGCUGUGCCCUGCCAAAGGGUACCUCAGAGCAUGCUGGAAGAGAAUAAGGCCUGGACUUAAGAAAAGAAGAAAAGGGGAGAAGAGAAGAGCUUUCCGAGAACCCAUCAGGAUCGCUUUUUCCGCUCAAUUCUCCAGACCAGGACUUUUUC